This 253-nucleotide ribosomal RNA is filed under the name uncultured Acetivibrio sp. RNAcentral describes it as "partial 16S ribosomal RNA". It matches the Rfam family "Bacterial small subunit ribosomal RNA", at positions 524 to 776 of the family's 1533-position model. Lineage: Bacteria; Bacillati; Bacillota; Clostridia; Acetivibrionales; Acetivibrionaceae. The record is from RNAcentral.
UACGUAGGUGGCGAGCGUUGUCCGGAAUUACUGGGUGUAAAGGGCGUGUAGGCGGGGAUGCAAGUCAGAUGUGAAAUACCACGGCUCAACUGUGGGGGUGCAUCUGAAACUGUAUCUCUUGAGUGCUGGAGAGGAAAGCGGAAUUCCUAGUGUAGCGGUGAAAUGCGUAGAUAUUAGGAGGAACACCAGUGGCGAAGGCGGCUUUCUGGACAGUAACUGACGCUGAGGCGCGAAAGCGUGGGGAGCAAACAGG